GAUCCUGGCUCAGGAUGAACGCUGGCGGCGUGCCUAACACAUGCAAGUCGAGCGAAGCACUUUGCUUAGAUUCUUCGGAUGAAGAGGAUUGUGACUGAGCGGCGGACGGGUGAGUAACGCGUGGGUAACCUGCCUCAUACAGGGGGAUAACAGUUAGAAAUGACUGCUAAUACCGCAUACACGACCACAGCCACCGCAGUGGUGGGAACGGGGUAAAACUCGGUGUAUGAGAGUCCGG
RNAcentral lists this ribosomal RNA (238 nucleotides) under uncultured bacterium. RNAcentral describes it as "partial 16S ribosomal RNA". It matches the Rfam family "Bacterial small subunit ribosomal RNA", at positions 15 to 233 of the family's 1533-position model. The record is from RNAcentral.